Molecule: long non-coding RNA, 891 nt
Filed under: Gossypium barbadense (sea-island cotton)
Lineage: Eukaryota; Viridiplantae; Streptophyta; Magnoliopsida; Malvales; Malvaceae
Description: long non-coding RNA (GBAR_LNC010954)
Source: RNAcentral
AAGAGAGAGGAGAGGGGAAUCCGGCCAGGGGCCGGUCACCGGACGGCCACCGGAGGCUCGCCGGCGCCGGCCACCGCGUGCGGUGGCCGGAAAAGGUAAAAAAUUUUAUUUUUUAUUUUUUUUUAUUUUUUUAUUGUUUGUAUUAUAUUGUUAUUUUUAUAUUUUUUAGUAUAUAUAUAUGGGAAAAUAGAACAAAAGACAAAACAAGAAUAGAUUCACAACCACCUUAGGUUUCCGGUUCUGAUUUUUGACUUGUUGAUUCACUGAUUUUUGGGUGUUCGAAUCUCUGCCUUUUGAUGUUAAGAUCGUAGUAUUUCGGAUAUCAAUUGUUUGCUUUUUGGUUAAGAAAUCGAAAGAGAGAAGAGAAAAAAGGGUUCCCCCCAAAUACAACCGAUUCUUCCCUUUGAAAUCUCCAAAAAAAAAAAUUCCCCCCUAUUACAUUCAGAUCUGGCAUUUAUAGCCAUUUCAAUACAAUAUUUUUUUAAAUUUCUUGCCAUUGCUUCCUGUCGCCUGCCUCUGUCUUAGUGUUUGCUUUCUUUUUUGUCUUAUUCUGCAGGUGAUGGAAAUCAACAGGUGGGCGCACAUGGAGGAGUUGGUGGGAGUGUCAGACGCGUGGGGCGUGGUGGCCAAGGCUGAGGGGUAUGGUGGCCGACAUGGUGGCAUGGAGAGCUGGGGUGCCAGGGGUUUGCUGCUGAAAAACCUUAAGCAAGUGGGCUGUUAUUUGGGCUAGGGUUUGAUGUAAAUUGGGCUGUUUAAUAUUGUAAAUGGGCUAAUUAUUUUGGACUCUUUUUUAUUGUUUUGGGUUUUGUUUUUUGUUAUUUUUUAUUUGUCUGGGCCCGGGCAAUAUUGGGCCUGUACAUAAACUUUUAAUGGAACAAUUGUAAGGAAGGG